RNAcentral lists this non-coding RNA (617 nucleotides) under Caloranaerobacter azorensis H53214. RNAcentral describes it as "bacterial SSU rRNA". It matches the Rfam family "Bacterial small subunit ribosomal RNA", at positions 825 to 1440 of the family's 1533-position model. Lineage: Bacteria; Bacillati; Bacillota; Tissierellia; Tissierellales; Thermohalobacteraceae. The record is from RNAcentral.
GGGGGGUUAGACCUUCAGUGCCGCAGUUAACACAUUAAGCACUCCGCCUGGGGAGUACGGUCGCAAGACUGAAACUCAAAGGAAUUGACGGGGACCCGCACAAGCAGCGGAGCAUGUGGUUUAAUUCGAAGCAACGCGAAGAACCUUACCAAGACUUGACAUCCUCCGGACGGCUCUGGAGACAGGGCUUUCCCUUCGGGGACUGGAGAGACAGGUGGUGCAUGGUUGUCGUCAGCUCGUGUCGUGAGAUGUUGGGUUAAGUCCCGCAACGAGCGCAACCCUUGCCUUUAGUUGCCAUCAGGUAAAGCUGGGCACUCUAGAGGGACUGCCGGCUAAAAGUCGGAGGAAGGUGGGGAUGACGUCAAAUCAUCAUGCCCCUUAUGUCUUGGGCUACACACGUGCUACAAUGGCCGGUACAGAGGGCAGCGAACCCGCAAGGGGGAGCGAAUCCCAAAAAGCCGGUCCCAGUUCGGAUUGUGGGCUGCAACUCGCCCACAUGAAGCUGGAGUUGCUAGUAAUCGCGAAUCAGAAUGUCGCGGUGAAUGCGUUCCCGGGUCUUGUACACACCGCCCGUCACACCAUGAGAGUCGGCAACACCCGAAGCCAGUGGGCUAACC